RNAcentral lists this ribosomal RNA (393 nucleotides) under uncultured bacterium. RNAcentral describes it as "partial 16S ribosomal RNA". It matches the Rfam family "Bacterial small subunit ribosomal RNA", at positions 523 to 918 of the family's 1533-position model. The record is from RNAcentral.
AUACGGGGGAUUCAAGCGUUAUCCGGACUUAUUGGGUUUAAAGGGAGCGCAGGCGGAGAUGCAAGCGUGACGUCAAAUUUCGGGGCUCAACCCCGUCUCGCGUCGCGAACUGCGUCCCUUGGUUGCGGGAAGGGGAGGCGGAACUCGUGGUGUAGCGGUGAAAUGCAUAGAUAUCACGAAGAACUCCGAUCGCGAAGGCAGCCUUCCGGCCCGUCAACGACGCUCAUGCUCGAAGGUGCGGGUAUCAAACAGGAUUAGAUACCCUGGUAGUCCGCACAGUAAACGAUGGACACCCGCGGUUUGGCCUAUAUGGCUGAGCCGCCAAGCGAAAGCGUUAAGUGUCCCACCUGGGGAGUACGCCGGCAACGGUGAAACUCAAAGGAAUUGACGGGG